Molecule: ribosomal RNA, 450 nt
Filed under: uncultured bacterium
Lineage: Bacteria
Description: bacterial SSU rRNA
Rfam family: Bacterial small subunit ribosomal RNA
Source: RNAcentral
ACGAACGCUGGCGGCAUGCCUAACACAUGCAAGUCGAACGAACCCUUCGGGGUUAGUGGCGCACGGGUGCGUAACGCGUGGGAAUCUGCCCUUCGGUUCGGAAUAACUCAGGGAAACUUGAGCUAAUACCGGAUAAUGACGCAAGUCCAAAGAUUUAUCGCCGAAGGAUGAGCCCGCGUAGGAUUAGCUUGUUGGUGAGGUAAAAGCUCACCAAGGCGACGAUCCUUAGCUGGUCUGAGAGGAUGAUCAGCCACACUGGGACUGAGACACGGCCCAGACUCCUACGGGAGGCAGCAGUGGGGAAUAUUGGACAAUGGGCGAAAGCCUGAUCCAGCAAUGCCGCGUGAGUGAUGAAGGCCUUAGGGUUGUAAAGCUCUUUUACCCGGGAUGAUAAUGACAGUACCGGGAGAAUAAGCUCCGGCUAACUCCGUGCCAGCCGCCGCGGUAAUU